RNAcentral lists this ribosomal RNA (440 nucleotides) under uncultured bacterium. Its description in RNAcentral is "partial 16S ribosomal RNA". It matches the Rfam family "Bacterial small subunit ribosomal RNA", at positions 338 to 795 of the family's 1533-position model. The record is from RNAcentral.
CCUACGGGGGGCAGCAGUGGGGAAUAUUGCACAAUGGGGGAAACCCUGAUGCAGCGACGCCGCGUGAAUGAUGAAGUACUUCGGUAUGUAAACUUCUGUCAGCAGGGAAGAUAAUGACGGUACCUGACGAGGAAGCCACGGCUAACUACGUGCCAGCAGCCGCGGUAAUACGUAGGGGGCAAGCGUUAUCCGGAUUUACUGGGUGUAAAGGGAGCGUAGGCGGACUUGUAAGUCAGAAGUGAAAGCCCCGGGCUCAACUUCGGUGCUGCUUUUGAAACUGUUAGACUAGAUUGCAGGAGAGGAGAAUGGAAUUCCUAGUGUAGCGGUGAAAUGCGUAGAGAUUAGGAAGAACACCAGUGGCGAAGGCGACUCUCUGGACUGUAAAUGACGCUGAGGCUCGAAAGCGUGGGGAGCAAACAGGAUUAGAUACCCGAGUAGUC